RNAcentral lists this ribosomal RNA (472 nucleotides) under uncultured organism. RNAcentral's name for it is "partial 16S ribosomal RNA". It matches the Rfam family "Bacterial small subunit ribosomal RNA", at positions 333 to 797 of the family's 1533-position model. The record is from RNAcentral.
ACACUCCUGCGGGAGGCAGCAGUGGGGAAUUUUGGACAAUGGGCGAAAGCCUGAUCCAGCAAUGCCGCGUGAGUGAAGAAGGCCUUCGGGUUGUAAAGCUCUUUUGUCAGGGAAGAAACGGUGAGAGCUAAUAUCUCUUGCUAAUGACGGUACCUGAAGAAUAAGCACCGGCUAACUACGUGCCAGCAGCCGCGGUAAUACGUAGGGUGCAAGCGUUAAUCGGAAUUACUGGGCGUAAAGCGUGCGCAGGCGGUUUUGUAAGUCUGAUGUGAAAUCCCCGGGCUCAACCUGGGAAUUGCAUUGGAGACUGCAAGGCUAGAAUCUGGCAGAGGGGGGUAGAAUUCCACGUGGAGCAGUGAAAUGCGUAGAUAUGUGGAGGAACACCGAUGGCGAAGGCAGCCCCCUGGGUCAAGAUUGACGCUCAUGCACGAAAGCGUGGGGAGCAAACAGGAUUAGAAACCCGAGUAGUCCC